This 378-nucleotide ribosomal RNA is filed under the name Diamantina ulmeri. Its description in RNAcentral is "Atalophlebiinae gen. 1 sp. 1 MM-2019 partial 16S ribosomal RNA". It matches the Rfam family "Bacterial large subunit ribosomal RNA", at positions 1953 to 2543 of the family's 2925-position model. The record is from RNAcentral. Lineage: Eukaryota; Metazoa; Arthropoda; Insecta; Ephemeroptera; Leptophlebiidae.
CAGGUAGCAUAAUCAUUAGUCUUUUAAUUGAAGGCUGGCAUGAAAGGUUGGAUAAGAUAUAAGCUGUCUCGUGNAAAAUUAAAAAAAAUUUGACCUUUAAGUGAAAAGGCUUAAAUAAAAAUGAGGGACGAGAAGACCCUAUAGAGCUUUAUAUAGUUUAUAUAUNUUAGUUUGAUGAAUUUUUAAAAUUUAUAAUUUAUAUUUUGUUGGGGCGACAUUAGAAUAAUAUAACUUCUAUUAAUAGANACACUAAUGAGUGAAUAAANNGGAUCCACUNNAUGUGAUUACAAGAACAAGUUACCUUAGGGAUAACAGCAUAAUCUUUUCUGAGAGUUCAAAUCGAAGAAAGGGGUUGUGACCUCGAUGUUGAAUUAAGAA